GGAGAGAUGUCCGAGUGGUUUAAGGAAGCAGUCUUGAAAACUGCCGUGCAGCAAUGCACCGUGGGUUCGAAUCCCACUCUCUCCGCCA
RNAcentral lists this transfer RNA (88 nucleotides) under Faecalibacterium sp. An121. Its description in RNAcentral is "tRNA-Ser". It matches the Rfam family "tRNA". From Rfam's summary of the family: Transfer RNA (tRNA) molecules are approximately 80 nucleotides in length. Their secondary structure includes four short double-helical elements and three loops (D, anti-codon, and T loops). Lineage: Bacteria; Bacillati; Bacillota; Clostridia; Eubacteriales; Oscillospiraceae. The record is from RNAcentral. RNAcentral also lists the same sequence under 2 other names.